This 1443-nucleotide ribosomal RNA is filed under the name uncultured cyanobacterium. Its description in RNAcentral is "bacterial SSU rRNA". It matches the Rfam family "Bacterial small subunit ribosomal RNA". The record is from RNAcentral. Lineage: Bacteria; Bacillati; Cyanobacteriota.
AGAGUUUGAUCCUGGCUCAGGAUGAACGCUGGCGGCGUGCUUAACACAUMGCAAGUCGAACGAACCUUCGGGUUAGUGGCGGACGGGUGAGUAACGCGUGAGAAUCUGCCCUCAGGAGGGGGACAACAGCUGGAAACGGCUGCUAAUACCCCAUAUGCCGCGAGGUGAAAUGAAUUUCGCCUGAGGAUGAGCUCGCGUCUGAUUAGCUAGUUGGUGUAGGUAAUGGCUCACCAAGGCAUCGAUCAGUAGCUGGUCUGAGAGGAUGAUCAGCCACACUGGGACUGAGACACGGCCCAGACUCCUACGGGAGGCAGCAGUGGGGAAUUUUCCGCAAUGGGCGAAAGCCUGACGGAGCAACGCCGCGUGAGGGAUGAAGGCCUCUGGGCUGUAAACCUCUUUUAUCAAGGAAGAAGAUCUGACGGUACUUGAUGAAUAAGCCACGGCUAAUUCCGUGCCAGCAGCCGCGGUAAUACGGGAGUGGCAAGCGUUAUCCGGAAUUAUUGGGCGUAAAGCGUCCGCAGGCGGCCCUUCAAGUCUGCUGUUAAAAAGUGGAGUUUAACACCAUCAUGGCAGUGGAAACUGUUGGGCUUGAGUGUGGUAGGGGCAGAGGGAAUUCCCGGUGUAGCGGUGACAUGCGUAGAUAUCGGGAAGAACACCAGUGGCGAAGGCGCUCUGCUGGGCCAUCACUGACGCUCAUGGACGAGCCAGGGAGCGAAAGGGAUUAGAUACCCCUGUAGUCCUGGCCGCAACGAUGAACACUAGGUGUCGGGGGAAUCGACCCCCUCGGUGUCGUAGCCAACGCGUUAAGUGUUCCGCCUGGGGAGUACGCACGCAAGUGUGAAACUCAAAGGAAUUGACGGGGGCCCGCACAAGCGGUGGAGUAUGUGGUUUAAUUCGAUGCGACGCGAAGAACCUUACCAGGGUUUGACAUCCUGCGAAUCUCUUGGAAACAGGAGAGUGCCUUCGGGAACGCAGUGACAGGUGGUGCAUGGCUGUCGUCAGCUCGUGUCGUGAGAUGUUGGGUUAAGUCCCGCAACGAGCGCAACCCACGUCUUUAGUUGCCAGCAUUUAGUUGGGCACUCUAGAGAGACUGCCGGUGAUAAACCGGAGGAAGGUGUGGAUGACGUCAAGUCAUCAUGCCCCUUACAUCCUGGGCUACACACGUACUACAAUGCUACGGACAAAGGGCUGCAAGUUCGCGAGGACAAGCAAAUCCCAUAAACCGUGGCUCAGUUCAGAUCGUAGGCUGCAACUCGCCUACGUGAAGGCGGAAUCGCUAGUAAUCGCAGGUCAGCAUACUGCGGUGAAUACGUUCCCGGGCCUUGUACACACCGCCCGUCACACCAUGGAARUUAGCCACGCCCGAAGCCGUUACUCCAACCCUUGUGGARUKRACGUCGAAGGUGGGGCUGAUGACUGGGGUGAAGUCGUAACAAGGUAACC